CGGAGACAGCAGACUUAAUAAUUGUAUAGUAUCAGACUUCUUUAAGCAUGUUCCUCCCGUAGAAGAGGAUUCGACCAACUUCAGGAGAUAUUUUAGUAAUCCUGUCGCUGCUAAGCGUCAUUAUCUGGCAGAAGGCAUCACGGACUGGCAAGACAGCAGAGGUGCUACGGGAGAUCCUUGAGGCUUAUGACCUUCAGGAAGAACAUGAUGUCAAUUUGAGACGCACUUUGUCCCUUCGUGCACUUCCUGUCUACCUGCGUGAGGAUGUUUCGGUGUUCAAGACCUGCAAUGAGGAAGAGGAGCCAGAUUUUGAUGAUGCUCCUGUUGCUCUCCUUACAUCGGGUCCCGACCCCUUCAGCUGCGAGAACAUCUUUGAAUUGGGUGCAGAGGUUUUCUGAGGCAUUUAUGUUGUUGUUUGGCCUGACAUAUGCUUUCAAUUUAGAAUAUCCCAAAAAACUCACGCACACAUUCUCAUACAG
This is a long non-coding RNA of Clupea harengus (Atlantic herring), 479 nucleotides long. Lineage: Eukaryota; Metazoa; Chordata; Actinopteri; Clupeiformes; Clupeidae. The record is from Ensembl.